Molecule: ribosomal RNA, 314 nt
Filed under: uncultured bacterium
Lineage: Bacteria
Description: bacterial SSU rRNA
Rfam family: Bacterial small subunit ribosomal RNA
Source: RNAcentral
GAUGAACGCUAGCUACAGGCUUAACACAUGCAAGUCGAGGGGCAGCAUGAACUUAGCUUGCUAAGUUUGAUGGCGACCGGCGCACGGGUGAGUAACACGUAUCCAACCUGCCGAUGACUCGGGGAUAGCCUUUCGAAAGAAAGAUUAAUACCCGAUGGCAUAGUUCUUCCGCAUGGUAGAACUAUUAAAGAAUUUCGGUCAUAGAUGGGGAUGCGUUCCAUUAGCUUGUUGGCGGGGUAACGGCCCACCAAGGCAGCGAUGGAUAGGGGUUCUGAGAGGAAGGUCCCCCACAUUGGAACUGAGACACGGUCCAA